GCGAUGAAUUAUUCGAUGUUUACAACAUGUAUGAAGAUAAUGAAGACCCCUUGCAACUCCAAUAGCUAUUUUGUAUCUUAUUGGCCAGUCAAGUGAGUUUUCUGCUUUACCUGAUAUAUUCAUUUCACUACAUUUAAAUCUCAUAUGACAUAACAAACGGUAACUACGUAGCACAAACACAAACACCAGGCACGACACCAUAUUGACACUGACACAUCGACACAAGUAAUUAUUUUAGCAAAUAGAAUUACUGAAUGCAUCAAGUAUUCAUAUGUAUCAGUGUCAUGUUCGUGUCAGACACCAGACACCAGACACACUUUCAAUAUGAAGUGUCGCUGCUAGAUAGGGUAAUUCGUGAAAAAUGAUAGUACAACGGGAGUUAGGUAUAAGGUUUACUCACCAUAACCAUGCAAUGCAGUUGACAAGUUUCCAUUUUGAGAGUAAUUGAAAAUCAGAUAAAGCCCAUUUUCAAUGCAAUAGCCUAACAAAGUUGCAGUAUUAGCAUGACAGACAUGUCCAAUAACACCUAACUCCAUAAGGAACUCUUUUUCCUUGUUUGGAUCAUUGUUGUCUUUGGCUAAUCUCUUCACAGCAAUGGUUUCUCCAUCACAAAGAACACCUUUGUAUACUUCUGAGUACCCUCCUCUUCCAACCAAAUUAUCUGUUUUCAAAAAACAAAAAAUGAAUACUAUAAAGAACCUUAAUUCAAUGUUUCCUAUGACCUUAAAUUAAUUGGUGAGCGCUCCGGUACACAUCUUAUUUGGAUAUGUAUGGGUACACCGCUGAUAUGUAUAAUUUUGAUAGGUUCACAAAUAGUGUUGAAUAAAGAAAAAAUAAUAAACAUUAUUUGGGAACCUAUCAGAAUCAUCCACCGCAGCAGACGUACCAAUACAUAUCUAAAUAAAAUGUGUAUCGAAUAAUCCACUUGAUUAUAUACCUUGGUGAAAGUCAUCAGUAGCAUUUGAUAUGUUUUCAUAGCUGAAGCACUUCAACAAGGGUUGAUGUUUUUCAGUUUUGGACAUGUUGAAGCUUUUUAUUCUGAAUGGUGAACCAAGGAAUGAUAUUAUGAACCUGAAUGACAAUUGUGAUUUUCUUAACUUUGAUUUUCUUUUAAUCUUGGGAUCAGAAGAAGGUGUAUAUGUCAUGCUUGAUGCUCUAGUGCUAAAUGUGUUAUCUUCUGUGCUGUUGUUGGAUUGUCCCUCUAGUCCAUCUAGCAGUACUGUUCUUGGUGAACUGUUUUGUGCAGUCAUUUCUGAGAUGAAAUCAAGGUACUUCAUUAAGUUUUUUGUUUUUUUUUUUAUUUAAAGAAAUUAUAUAAGGAAAUUUUUUUAUUAAUUAAAAUAACACUAAUAGUCGGUUUACAACGGGUUCCUGAUAGGAUUUGAACUCUGUUUGAUAAAGUUAUAAAGUCAAACUCUAACACUGAGCUAACACCUUAUGGAAAAAUAAUUCGAUUUUUAAGUAAUUCGUUGUUAUCCAAUGUAAUUUGUAUUUUGUUAACAUUACUUUAAGACAAAUUGAGUUACCUUGAAAAUGUGUGGAAUUUGAAUUGAUGUAAUUCUGUUCUGACUUUGUGUAUCUACCAACUGAGAUCAUUGUACAACCUUCAUCUAUAUGCUCAAAGCAAUACUUGGUAAUUCCUUUAGAGGUCCCAAUUCUAUCAACAAUACCAAAACAUAAAAAUAAGAGGGGUUGUCAUGUUACAAAUUAGGGGAAGGACAAAGAGGCCAAGUUUUCAACAAUAUCAAUAGACUGAGUUUAAACAUAAAUUAUCUAGAACAAAUCAUCAUUAUAAUAAUACCUAGUAUAAAAUCUGAUACUAAGCAAUAUACUCUCAGAAUAUCUAUUAAUAUUUAAUUUAAUAUAGAUAUAUUUUCUUAUAUAUUGUAACAUGUCACUGAUGUGAUUGAUCUUUAUGGAAUUUUAUAAAUGUUACACUCAGUUCUUACUUACUUAUUUGUUUUGUUUCUUGAUCCCCGGAGGAGAAGAAAAUCAGCAGAAAUUGACUUGGCUUCCUCCACUAAACCACCACCUACUGUGGAAUUAAGUGCCACUUUUGCCUCCAAAUUCACCUGAAAAUGAUGUUUCCAUCAGCAAUCUUUGAUUCUAAUAGCAAGUAUAUUAAAGUCU
Molecule: long non-coding RNA, 2130 nt
Filed under: Trifolium pratense (red clover)
Lineage: Eukaryota; Viridiplantae; Streptophyta; Magnoliopsida; Fabales; Fabaceae
Description: long non-coding RNA (TPRA_LNC001015)
Source: RNAcentral